RNAcentral lists this long non-coding RNA (4098 nucleotides) under Cucumis sativus (cucumber). RNAcentral describes it as "long non-coding RNA (CSAT_LNC000721)". The record is from RNAcentral. Lineage: Eukaryota; Viridiplantae; Streptophyta; Magnoliopsida; Cucurbitales; Cucurbitaceae.
UCAUACCCUACUCACUUAUAUCUCAUCCAACGCUUAUUCCUCAUCCAAUUAGCAGAAAGGUAUAGAAAACUUUUCUUCUCCCUUUCUCUUUUUUUUUCUCUUUUUUUUGCGUGUGUUUUUUUUUUAUUCUGUUUUGUUUUGUUUUGUUUUUUUUGUUGUUGUUUUUUUUGUUUUUGUUUUGUUUUUUUUUUUUUUUUUUUGCAGGAAUGACUUUGUCGAGCUUCUUCUAGGGACGAUCGGGCUUCUGCCGUCAGAUCUAUCGCCCUAGUAGGAGAGAUCGACUCUGUCAUCGUCGGGCUUUGAUCUUCGUUUGCAGAAAUGACUUUGUUGAGCUUCUUCUAGGGACGAUCGGGCUUUUGCCGUCAGAUCUAUCGCCCUAGUUGGAGAGAUCGACUCUGUCAUCGUCGGGCUUCAAUCUUCGUUUGCAGAAAUGACUUUGUUGAGCUUCUUCUAGGGACGAUCAGGCUUUUGCCGUCAGAUCUAUCGCCCUAGUUGGAGAGAUCGACUCUGUCAUCGUCGGGCUUCAAUCUUCGUUUGCAGAAAUGACUUUGUUGAGCUUCUUCUAGGGACGAUCGGGCUUUUGCCGUCAGAUCUAUCGCCCUAGUAGGAGAGAUCGACUCUGUCAUCGUCGGGCUUCGAUCUUCGUUUGCAGAAAUGACUUUGUUGAACUUCUUCUAGGGACGAUCGGGCUUUUGCCGUCAGAUCUAUCGCCCUAGUUGGAGAGAUCGACUCUGUCAUCGUCGGGCUUCAAUCUUCAUUUGCUUUUUCUUCUUUCUUUUGUUUUUUUUGUUUUUCUUUCUUUUUGUUUUUGUUUUUUUUUUCUUUUUCUUCUUUCUUUUUGUUUUUGUUUUUUUUUUCUUUUUCUUCUUUCUUUUUGCUUUUUUUUUUUUUUUUUUUCUUUCUUCUUCCUUCUUUCUUCUUCAUCAUUUUCUUCUUUCUUCUUCUUGCUUCUUCAAUUUCUUCUUUUUCUUAUUCUUUUGAGUCUUAUUUCCUCUUCUAUAGUUUUGGUAAGAGCGAGACUCUCUUUGGGUCGGGAUCGACUGUCUUUUCUUUCGGUGGGUCACCACUAUCCACCCUUCAUCGUCUUCUUCAAUUGGUCUUUUCUCUCCUUGAGGAUCCUCGUAUGAGAUUUCCUGAAAGAACUGGACAACUAUAGGCUCAAAGGUCCCGAACUGGACCAAGCUUUUCCUUUGCUCAAAAAUCAAUCUCGAUGAAGAAGCCUCAGACAUUAUCGUCACUUCAGCGUGGUUUGUUUGAGCUACUUCCUCCAAAUCUAGCUCUAUCCUUUUCUCACGAGCCAGCCUUAGAAUUAGCUCCUUCAGCACGAAGCCACAGAAGUUGAUUGUUGUUGUGGCUGAUUUUCUUGUACCACGUUCUUCCCUUUGUCAUCAACUUUAACGACAGGAGUUUGACUCGAUUCAGCAGUUUCACGAGUCUGCAUCUGCUCCUUUAAAGCUGCAAUUUCGUGGUCUCGUUCAUCAACAACCUUCAUCAGGAGAUUAAUUUUUCUCUCCAUCUCCAACAACCUACAUCAGCCAUCAUGACGGACAUCACAUCUGGGUGUGCUUCUUUCAGUGACCUGCUAGAGGCAGAAUCAUAAUCAUUAUAUAGAGGAUUUUCCUUGAUGACAAUUCCAGCUUUAGGAGAUUCCAUCAAUUGCUUCAGGAUGCUCUGCGCGAUGGCGGAACCUUGGUCUUGCCCUUGGAUGAUCCCCUUGGAACGACUACGGGUGAUAGGUCCCGUGUAGGUGUCGCUUGCAGCUGAAGAUUUGGAUGCAGCUUUCUUUGAUGCCAUUGAUUUGCUUGUAGAUCUAGAUGAUGAGAGAGAGAUGAGAGGUAGAGAUGGUCCCACGGGCGUGCCAAUUUGUUCGCACGAGAUUUCCGGAGAAAUUUAAUUCGUGGACUUGAACUUGGGUUGAUGUUGUAUUUUUGUUGAUUUGAUGCGAUGCGGUUCAAUCUCUAGAAUUUGAUCCUCUGAUUCUCUCUCAACUGUAUGUCUACGCUUGAUUUGGAGGAAGCGGAGCACGUGAUGUUCUUGAAGUUUGUUGAACGUCUACGCUUAAUUUGGAGAAGCGGAGCACGUGAUGUUCUUGAAGUUUGUUGAACGUCUACGCUUGAUUUGGAGAAGCGGAGCACGUGAUGUUCUUGAAGUUUGUUGAACGUCUACGCUUGAUUUGAGAGAAGCGGAGCACGUGAUGUUCUUGAAGUUUGUUGAACGUCUACGCUUGAUUUGGAGAAGCGGAGCACGUGAUGUUCUUCAAGUUGGUUGAAUGCUUACGCUUGAUUUGAGGAAGCGGAGCACGUGAUGUUCUUGAAGUUGGAGUCUUGGAAGAAAGUUUGUAUCUUCAAAGCAGCUUCAAUCUUCGAGGGUGUGUCAACUUUAGAAGUUAGGGAGUCUUCUAGCUCUUGGAAGAAUUCUCUCUAGAUCUUCUAGAGUCAAAAUUUUCCAACCUCUACAAAUGAGGAGAAUUCCUCUAUUUAUAGAGUUCACUGGUGGGCUUUAUGGGUUUGAACCUGGUUGGUCCAUGGACCAGACCCAUGGGCUCAACCAUAUGGACUUAGGUUAUAUUUAGUCUUUGGGCUCAAUUAAGCUUAUUUUUUGGCUUAAUUGAACUUAGUCCAAGUAAAUAAUAUUUAAUUGAACUAAAAUGAUUAACUUAAUCCAACGAUUAAUAUGAAAACAUGUGGCAUUAUUAGAAUGACCAAUUUAUUUAUUUUAACUCUUUAAUUUUGGAGCAUGUGUCAAUUUUAAUUAGUUCCAAAUUUAAUUAUUUGUACUUUUCAUCAUUAACUUAAUAAAUGAUGUGGCAACUUGUGAUUGGUCUCAAAAUUUCUUAUUCAACAAAUGCCCCCUUUUCGAGAUUUAUGCACGUAUAUGGGUGAAUGAAUCUCGGAAAAGAUAAAUUUGAAGUCAAAGUACGAGCUUUUUUUUUUUUUUUACUCAAUUCAGCAUAUCAAAUUAAUCAAACUAUGAAUUUAGUACGUGAGUUUGAUUUAAAUUUAAAAUAAGGGUUGGAAUAUGGCCAAACCUUAAAAAAAUUCAAAGUUUUAUUUCCCACUUAAUUUUAUUUGAGGGAAAAAAAAAUUUAAUAUGAUGAUUUUUUUUUUUAAGUAAAAUUUGGAAUAUAACCAAAAUUUUAAUUUUGAAAUAAGGAUAAGGUUUCUACCGUACCUUAAUUUAUCUUGGGGAUGCAUAAGAAUUUGGAAUGACCAAUUUUAAUUUUGAGAUAAAAAAAAAUCAGGUCCUCAAUCUUAGGUAAAGUUGGAUUUAUGACUCGAUUUAAAUUCAUGAUAAAAAGGAGGUCAUAUAUGCAAGUUAAUUUAACUUAAAUUUUGAAAUUGAGAAUAUUUAUAUAUAUAUAUAUAUAUAUAUAUAUAUAUAUAUAUAUAUAUAAUAUAUAUUUUAAAAAUGUUUGAAAUUUUUAAAUAUUUUAAAAUAUCUCAAUAAAAGUUUAAACUUGAGAUUUAUCCAAAAAAAAAAAAGAAAUAAUUUAAAAUAAAAUAAGAUAAUUGGAUUAUCUUUUCUUUUUAUAUAUAUAUAUAUAUAUAUAUAUAUAUUAUAUAUAUAUAUAUAUUAUAUAUAUUUUUUUAAAAAUCAUUCCUAUUCCUUUUAGGAAUUGGAUUUGUUUUUUAAAAAAAUAAUUAAAUUAUCAUUCCUAAUCCUUUUAGGAAUUGGAUUUGUUGGGCUUAUAAAUAGACUCAUACCCUACUCACUUAUAUCUCAUCCAACGCUUAUUCCUCAUCCAAUUAGCAUAAAGGUAUAGAAAACUUUUCUUCUCCCUUUCUCUUUUUUUUCUCUUUUUUUUUUUGUGUGUGUUUUUUAUUCUGUUAUGUUUUGUUUUUUUUUUUUUGUUGUUGUUUUUUUGUUUUUGUUUUGUUUUUGUUUUGUUUUUUUUUUUUUUUUGCAGGAAUGACUUUGUCGAGCUUCUUCUAGGGACGAUCGGGCUUCUGCCGUCAGAUCUACCGCCCUAGUAGGAGAGAUCGGACUUUGUCAUCGUCAGGCUUCAAUCUUCGUUUGCAGAAAUGACUUUGUUGAGCUUCUUCUAGGGACGAUCGGGCUAUUGCCGUCAGAUCUAUCGCCCUAGUAGGAGAGAUCGAC